Molecule: unclassified non-coding RNA, 1395 nt
Filed under: Limnonectes cf. kuhlii 'lineage 18'
Lineage: Eukaryota; Metazoa; Chordata; Amphibia; Anura; Dicroglossidae
Description: partial contains 12S ribosomal RNA, tRNA-Val, and 16S ribosomal RNA; may also contain tRNA-Phe
Rfam family: Bacterial small subunit ribosomal RNA (bases 1-519)
Source: RNAcentral
ACUGGGAUUAGAUACCCCACUAUGCCCUACCGUAAAAUAUUUACUUACACUUACAACGCCAGGGCAUUACGAGCUUAGCUUAAAACCCAAAGGACUUGACGGUGUCCCAUCCAACUAGAGGAGCCUGUUCUAUAAUCGAUAACCCACGAUAUACCUAACCCCAUUUUGCAAAUCAGUCUGUAUACCUCCGUCGCAAACUUACCAUAUGAGUGCCUAUAGUAAGUUUAAUGGUCACACACCAACACGUCAGGUCAAGGUGCAACUCAUGAUGAGGUAAGCAAUGGGCUACAGUUUCUAAUAUAGAACAUACGAAAUGCUGUAUGAAACACAGACAUGAAGGCGGAUUUAGUAGUAAAAAUGAAUUACCAUGUCCUUUUUAAUGAGGCCCUGGGACGUGUACACACCGCCCGUCACCCUCUUCAAUAGUAUAAAAACGUUUUUUACAACCUAUUACAUUCUAGAAGAGGCAAGUCGUAACAUGGUAAACGUACCGGAAGGUGCGCUUGGAUCAUCAAAAUAUAGCUUAAACAAAGCCUCUCGCUUACACCGAGAAAAUGUCUGUGAAAAUCAGACUAUCUUGAACCAAUAACUAAGCCUAAUCUCAACUAAUGUAACACAACCACAAUAAACCCUAGAUAAAACAUUUUAAUAAUUUAGUAAAGGUGAUUGAAAGAUUUAUUAGCGCUUUACUAUAAGUACCGCAAGGGAAAAAUGAAAUAGCUUUGAAAUAGGCCUUAAGUAAAACAUAGCAGAGAUUAUCUCUCGUACCUUUUGCAUCAUGGUUUAGCUAGUCCUCUUCAAGCAAAAUGAAACAUCAGUUUGACACCCCGAAACUAAGUGAGCUACUUUUAAACAGCUCAAUGGAGCCAACCCGUCUCUGUUGCAAAAGAGUGGGAUGAUUUAUAAGUAGAGGCGAAAAACCUAUCGAACUUAGAGAUAGCUGGUUACUCAGGAAAAGAAUUUUAGUUCCACCUUAAGUUUUUACAUUACCCAUAAAAUCCCCAUAAACUUAAGAGCUAUUCAAAUAAGGCACAGCUUAUUUGAAAAAGGAUACAACCUAUAAGAAAGGGUAAAAAUUUCUUUAAAAGAACUAAGUGGGCCUGAAAGCAGCCACCUUUAAGAAAGCGUUAAAGCCCUUUUCUUUUUUUUAAUAAUACCUCUAAAUUUAUUAAACCCUUUACUACUACUGAGUGAUUCUAUAACCUAUAGAAGCCCUUAUACUAAAACUAGUAACAAGAAAUCGUAUUUCUCCAAAAUAUAAGUAUAAGCCAGAAUGGACCAACCACCGGCAAUUAACGUUGAUAAGACCACUGUAAUAACACAUCAAGAAAAUUCUACAGACAUAAACGUUAAUCUUACACAAGAAUAUUCCAGGAAAGAUAAAAGAAAGGAAGA